Molecule: ribosomal RNA, 430 nt
Filed under: uncultured bacterium
Lineage: Bacteria
Description: partial 16S ribosomal RNA
Rfam family: Bacterial small subunit ribosomal RNA
Source: RNAcentral
GUGGGGAAUAUUGGACAAUGGGCGCAAGCCUGAUCCAGCAACGCCGCGUGAGGGAUGACGGCCUUCGGGUUGUAAACCUCUUUCAGCAGGGACGAAGCGAAAGUGACGGUACCUGCAGAAGAAGGACCGGCCAACUACGUGCCAGCAGCCGCGGUAAUACGUAGGGUCCGAGCGUUGUCCGGAAUUAUUGGGCGUAAAGGGCUCGUAGGCGGUCUGUCGCGUCGGGAGUGAAAACUCAGGGCUCAACCCUGAGCGUGCUUCCGAUACGGGCAGACUAGAGGUAUGCAGGGGAGAACGGAAUUCCUGGUGUAGCGGUGGAAUGCGCAGAUAUCAGGAGGAACACCGGUGGCGAAGGCGGUUCUCUGGGCAUUACCUGACGCUGAGGAGCGAAAGCAUGGGGAGCGAACAGGAUUAGAAACCCGGGUAGUCC